GCAUAUCAAUAAGCGGAGGAAAAGAAACCAACAGGGAUUGCCCUAGUAACGGCGAGUGAAGCGGCAACAGCUCAAAUUUGAAAUCUGGCUCUUUUAGAGUCCGAGUUGUAAUUUGCAGAGGGCGCUUUGGCUUUGGCAGCGGUCCAAGUUCCUUGGAACAGGACGUCACAGAGGGUGAGAAUCCCGUACGUGGUCGCUAGCUAUUGCCGUGUAAAGCCCCUUCGACGAGUCGAGUUGUUUGGGAAUGCAGCUCUAAAUGGGAGGUAAAUUUCUUCUAAAGCUAAAUAUUGGCCAGAGACCGAUAGCGCACAAGUAGAGUGAUCGAAAGAUGAAAAGCACUUUGGAAAGAGAGUCAAACAGCACGUGAAAUUGUUGAAAGGGAAGCGCUUGCAGCCAGACUUGCUUGCAGUUGCUCAUCCGGGCUUUUGCCCGGUGCACUCUUCUGUAGGCAGGCCAGCAUCAGUUUGGGCGGUGGGAUAAAGGUCUCUGUCACGUACCUCUCUUCGGGGAGGCCUUAUAGGGGAGACGACAUACCACCAGCCUAGACUGAGGUCCGCGCAUCUGCUAGGAUGCUGGCGUAAUGGCUGUAAGCGGCCCGUCUUGAAACACGGACCAAGGAGUCUAACAUCUAUGCGAGUGUUUGGGUGUCAAGCCCGAGCGCGUAAUGAAAGUGAACGGAGGUGGGAACCCGCAAGGGUGCACCAUCGACCGAUCCUGAAGUUUUCGGAAGGAUUUGAGUAAGAGCAUGGCUGUUGGGACCCGAAAGAUGGUGAACUAUGCUUGAAUAGGGUGAAGCCAGAGGAAACUCUGGUGGAGGCUCGCAGCGGUUCUGACGUGCAAAUCGAUCGUCAAAUUUGGGCAUAGGGGCGAAAGACUAAUCGAACUAUCUAGUAGCUGGGUUCCUGCCGAG
Molecule: ribosomal RNA, 910 nt
Filed under: Stemphylium solani
Lineage: Eukaryota; Fungi; Ascomycota; Dothideomycetes; Pleosporales; Pleosporaceae
Description: LSU rRNA
Rfam family: Eukaryotic large subunit ribosomal RNA
Source: RNAcentral